This 24-nucleotide microRNA is filed under the name Gossypium raimondii (Peruvian cotton). RNAcentral describes it as "gra-miR8720". Lineage: Eukaryota; Viridiplantae; Streptophyta; Magnoliopsida; Malvales; Malvaceae. The record is from miRBase by way of RNAcentral.
CAGUGUAGUUCUAAACCCGUCGGG